This 765-nucleotide ribosomal RNA is filed under the name uncultured Alphaproteobacteria bacterium. Its description in RNAcentral is "bacterial SSU rRNA". It matches the Rfam family "Bacterial small subunit ribosomal RNA", at positions 54 to 867 of the family's 1533-position model. The record is from RNAcentral. Lineage: Bacteria; Pseudomonadati; Pseudomonadota; Alphaproteobacteria.
CAUGCAAGUCGAACGAAGUAGCAAUACUUAGUGGCAGACGGGUGAGUAACAUGUGGGUAUCUACCCUUUGGCCUGGAAUAACACGAGGAAACUUGUGCUAAUACCGGAUAAGUCUUUACGGAGAAAGCUUUAUGCACCAUUGGAUGAGCCUGCACUUGAUUAGUUUGUUGGUAGGGUAAUGGCCUACCAAGACUAUGAUCAAUAGCUGAUUUGAGAGGAUGAUCAGCCACAUUGGGACUGAGACACGGCCCAAACUCCUACGGGAGGCAGCAGUGGGGAAUCUUGCACAAUGGAGGAAACUCUGAUGCAGCGAUGCCGCGUGAGUGAAGAGGGCCCUUGGGUUGUAAAGCUCUUUCGUCGGGGAAGAAAAUGACUGUACCCGAAUAAGAAGGUCCGGCUAACUUCGUGCCAGCAGCCGCGGUAAUACGAAGGGACCUAGCGUAGUUCGGAAUUACUGGGCUUAAAGAGUUCGUAGGUGGUUGAAAAAGUUGGUGGUGAAAUCCCAGAGCUUAACUCUGGAACUGCCAUCAAAACUUUUCAGCUAGAGUAUGAUAGAGGAAAGCAGAAUUUCUAGUGUAGAGGUGAAAUUCGUAGAUAUUAGAAAGAAUACCAAUUGCGAAGGCAGCUUUCUGGAUCAUUACUGACACUGAGGAACGAAAGCAUGGGUAGCGAAGAGGAUUAGAUACCCUCGUAGUCCAUGCCGUAAACGAUGUGUGUUAGACGUUGGAAAUUUAUUUUCAGUGUCGCAGCGAAAGCGAUAAACAC